AAUGUAGUUAUAGCGUGAAUAAAAUUGUGUGGUAGGAAAAUAAAUAACAGAAAUAUCUAACAAUAAAAGUAUUAUUUAAAGAAAUAUUUAUAAAUAGCUAUAGUUGAUGAGUACUGAGAAGGAAAUUUUUAGUUUUUUAUUUAGUAGAGAUAUAACCUCGUACCUUUUGCAUCAUGAUUAUACGAGAUAGAAGUAUUUAUAUAUUAUCCCGAAAUUAUGUGAGCUAUUUUAUGACUUAAGUCAAUGUUGCAAAAUUGUUUUUAGAUUAUGAAAUAGAUGUGAAAUGCAAGUCGCACAUAAUGAUAGCUGGUUUUCCUAGAAAUAUAUGGAAGUGUAGCCCUGUUAGUCUUAAUUUUAUAUAUCUUAUUAUUAGGUUAAAAUAGGAGUCCGAUAGGAGGAGAUAAGUUCUUCUAUUAUUAUAAUGAGUAUUGGAUUAAAUUAUUAAUUUAAGUGGGCUUAGAAUUUGCCAUCUUUAUGAGUUUGUUUUUAAAAAAAUGGUUUUGAUUUAAUAAUUUUUUAAAUACUUCUUAGUGUGUGUAUAGGAAUUUUAAUUUUAAUUUAAUAAAAUUAAUUAUUUAUGUAUAAAUUAGUAUAUUGGUUAAGCUAGAUUAUUAAGAUUAAAUUUGUAAAAUUUUAAUUAUAUUUAAUAUUUUUGCUCAUAGGAUUAGUUUAAGGAAUUCGGCAAAGUAAGCCUCGCCUGUUUAUCAAAAACAUCGCUUUUUGUAAAGAUUAAAUAAAAAGUAGAGCCUGCCCAGUGAAGUAAAUUUAAACGGCCGCAGUACCCUGACUGUGCGAAGGUAGCAUAAUCAUUUGCUCUUUAAUUGGGAGCUGGAAUGAAUGGUUUGACGAAGGCUUAACUGUCUUAAAUUAAUUUGUUAGAAAUUGACUUUUAGGUGCAGAGGCCUAAAUUUGGUUAUAGGACAAGAAGACCCUAUUGAGCUUUAAUUUAAUUAUUUAAGUAAAAAUAUAUAUAUAAAGUUUAAUUAAGUAAUAAAUUUUGAUUGGGGCGAUCAAGGAAGAAAGAAAUCUUCCUUUUGUGAUUUUAAAGUUGUAUGAAUAAAAGAUCCAGGACAUUUCUGAUUGUAAGAAUAAGUUACCAUAGGGAUAACAGCGUAAUCUUUUUUGAGAGUUCUUAUCGAAAAAAAGGGUUGCGACCUCGAUGUUGGAUUAAGGUUUCCUGAAGGUGUAGCAGUUUUCGAGGGUUGGUCUGUUCGACCAUUAAAACCUUACAUGAUCUGAGUUCAGACCGGCGUGAGCCAGGUUGGUUUCUAUCCUUAACUUAAAGAUAAUGUUUUUUCUAGUACGAAAGGAUUGUUAAAAACUAAUAUAUAAAAUUAGAAAAUUUUUGGUUGAAGCUAAAAUUGAAGUAAGUUUUAAAAUAAUAUU
RNAcentral lists this ribosomal RNA (1386 nucleotides) under Petrasma pervernicosa. Its description in RNAcentral is "Solemya pervernicosa large subunit ribosomal RNA". It matches the Rfam family "Bacterial large subunit ribosomal RNA", at positions 486 to 2814 of the family's 2925-position model. The record is from RNAcentral. Lineage: Eukaryota; Metazoa; Mollusca; Bivalvia; Solemyida; Solemyidae.